CUUCUGAACAGCCCCUUUCAUGCCUUUAACAGGAUCAGUAAGCACCAACUCAGCUCCAAAAGCACGGAGAAUAGUUCUUCUUUCAAGACUCAUUGAUGCAGGCAUUGUGAUGAUAAGCUUGUAUCCCUUGGCAGCAGCCAUGAAUGCUAAUCCUAUGCCCGUAUUUCCGCUUGUAGGCUCAAUCAGAACACUCUGCCCUGGUGUGAUGAGGCCCUUGGCCUCUGCAUCCGCGAUCAUGCUGUAACCAAUCCUGUCUUUGACACUAGAGCAUGGCUCCAUCAUCUCUAGUUUAGCAGCAAUACGAGCAACACAACCAUCCACAACAUUGUUGAGAUAUACCAAUGGAGUAUUGCCAAUUAAUUCAGUCACAUCUUUAGCGAUUUUGUGUUUCUCAACAGCCAUAGCUUCAGAUUACUGCAAUUCAAGAAAACAAAUAUUAAAAAUCAAAUAUUCUCACACCACCUAAACAGAAAUCAAUCAACCCCAUUUCCUCAUCUUGAAUACCAAUCUUUUGCAGCCAUAUAUAAAACCUUUCUUUUUGUUUUAUUUAAUAAAUUUAUUAACAAGGAGAAGGGUUUGAAUUGUUUUUUUCCAGAGGAUCUCAAUCUUUAGCAAUCAAUACAUAUAAUUAAUGGGAAAAAAAGUAACUAGGAGCUAUAAAC
Molecule: unclassified non-coding RNA, 662 nt
Filed under: Hevea brasiliensis (rubber tree)
Lineage: Eukaryota; Viridiplantae; Streptophyta; Magnoliopsida; Malpighiales; Euphorbiaceae
Source: RNAcentral